AGGAUAUCUCGUCGCACUAAGACGGACUCCACAUCUGUAUUUUAUCCAUUCUUCCCCACGGAUCCACAACUCUGUGUCGUCUCCACUCUACAUCAGUAUGUAGAAACUACCCUACCACUCAGGUCUACGCCCUCAGGUCAACUCUUAGUAUCAUACAUUAGACCACAUGUUCCUAUUACAACAACCACCCUAGCGAGAUGGGUUCGAUGGUUACUAUCGCUAGCCGGCGUGGACACUACAUUCGGAGCACACUCCGUACGCGGAGCAGCAGCAUCCUCAGCCUUCAUGGCGGGUGCCUCCAUAACGGAUAUCCUACACUCCGCGGAUUGGUCUAGAGAAUCUACGUUCCGCACCUUCUACUUCCGACCGAACUCCGGUGCAGCCAUGUCUCUUAUACAACAGCGUUAAAAAUGCAAAAUAGGAAGCCUCCUGUCAUGUGAUAAAAUUGAAGAUUAUGCUAGCGUUAGUGU
Pelobates cultripes (western spadefoot toad) is the source of this 470-nucleotide non-coding RNA. NCBI's taxonomy places the organism in Eukaryota, Metazoa, Chordata, Amphibia, Anura, Pelobatidae. The record is from the annotation of a GenBank genome assembly.